AUUUGGAUACCACCUAUGAAGAAGUGGCAAAUUUCAUCCAAAUGGGGAAAAAAGAGAACAACAGGCCAGCAACCUCAGCUUCUAAUCCAUUAAAUUGCAGUGACACACCCCAAAUUAGUAUUUCUUAUUGUUCAGUCAGAUUUAUUUCCCUCAAAAUGAAAUUCUUAUCUCUCUACAGAAUGCUUUUUUUCCAAUAAAAACUUUGUUACCAGCAUCAGAGUUCCCACUGUGCUGCAGUGGGUUAAGAAUCCGACUGCACUUUUAAAUCUGAGAGGACAAGAUGGCGGAGGAGUAGGGGGACACGCUCGCCCUCUCCCACAAACACAACAAAAAAAAAACACAUCUACAGAAGAAAUGACUCGCACAGAACAACAACCAAUCGCUGGCAGAGGAACCUAAACUCCAAUAACGGCAAGAAAUUCGUGACAUUAUUGGGCAGAACGGGAGAAAAGAGGAGAGUGAGAGAAGGUGAAUCCGAGCGGGACCGGCGCUCCCGAAAGGGAACUGCGGAGGAGAAAGGGAUCCCGCACCCUGGAAAGUCUCCUACCGGGGAAAGAUCAAACCAACCGGAGGAAUCUCCAGAUGCAGAGAAGAGUGUAGCAGUAAGUCGGAGUACGGAAAAACGAUCAAGAACCCAACGGACCAUCUGAACUACGGGCACAGUCACCAAAAAUUGAGACGCCUGGGUGGGGGCUGGGCACCGAAUCCUCGGCUCCAGAGACAGAUUCCCAGGAGGAGUGUAACACCUGCUGAUUUGACGCUUUUCCGUCUAGCCAUUCCAUGGCAUGGAACAAAAAUGACAAAUAUGGGUGAGUGUUCCCAGCUGAAGGAGGAUUGCCAGAUUUACAACAAACAAACAAAUGAAAAGCAGGACCUCGCAAUUACAUUUGAAUUUCAGGUGAAGAAUGAUCAUUUUUCAGGAUAUAUAUGUCCUAAACAUUACAUGUUUCUUGAGAAUCAAAUGAGCCUUCCCUGGGUAGCAUUCCCCAGCUGGCUUACCCCUGGAGGCUUUGCCUACUUUGAAAUAUCUCUCUUCAGAGUUCCUGUCAUGGCUCAGCGGAAGUGA
This 1066-nucleotide long non-coding RNA is filed under the name Sus scrofa (pig). RNAcentral describes it as "lncRNA (ENSSSCG00070016697.1)". The record is from RNAcentral. Lineage: Eukaryota; Metazoa; Chordata; Mammalia; Artiodactyla; Suidae.